GAACCAAAGUUUAAGNGGCUUUUGCUUUAUUCUUUGCCCCGCCCCGUCUGAAUAUACCCAUGCUUUUNGCGUACUAUUUGUUUCCUUGGUGGGCUUGCCUGCCGAUAGUACAUUAUAAACUCCUUUGCAAUUGCAGUCAGCGUCAGAAAAACUUAAUAAUUACAACUUUCAACAACGGAUCUCUUGGUUCUGGCAUCGAUGAAGAACGCAGCGAAAUGCGAUAAGUAGUGUGAAUUGCAGAAUUCAGUGAAUCAUCGAAUCUUUGAACGCACAUUGCGCCCCUUGGUAUUCCAUGGGGCAUGCCUGUUCGAGCGUCAUUUGUACCCUCAAGCUCAGCUUGGUGUUGGGUGUUUGUCCCGCCUUUUGCGUGUGGACUCGCCUUAAAGCAAUUGGCAGCCGGCAUAUUGGCCUGGAGCGCAGCACAAUUUGCGCUUCCUGCCAUGAUUGUUGGCAUCCAUCAAGCCCAUUUAUUUGCUCUUGACCUCGGAUCAGGUAAGGGAUACCCGCUGAACUUAAGCAUAUCAAUAAGCCGGAGG
RNAcentral lists this ribosomal RNA (536 nucleotides) under Dothideomycetes sp. CAE4. RNAcentral describes it as "eukaryotic LSU rRNA". The stretch from base 164 to 317 matches the Rfam family "5.8S ribosomal RNA". Lineage: Eukaryota; Fungi; Ascomycota; Dothideomycetes. The record is from RNAcentral.